RNAcentral lists this ribosomal RNA (250 nucleotides) under uncultured bacterium. RNAcentral's name for it is "partial 16S ribosomal RNA". It matches the Rfam family "Bacterial small subunit ribosomal RNA", at positions 524 to 773 of the family's 1533-position model. The record is from RNAcentral.
UACGGAGGGUGCAAGCGUUAUCCGGAUUCACUGGGUUUAAAGGGUGCGUAGGCGGGCAGGUAAGUCCGUGGUGAAAUCCUAUAGCUUAACUAUAGAACUGCCAUGGAUACUAUUUGUCUUGAAUAUCGUAGAGGUAAGCGGAAUAUGUCAUGUAGCGGUGAAAUGCUUAGAUAUGACAUAGAACACCUAUUGCGAAGGCAGCUUACUAUGCGAUUAUUGACGCUGAGGCACGAAAGCGUGGGUAGCAAAC